Molecule: non-coding RNA, 104 nt
Filed under: Alkalithermobacter thermoalcaliphilus
Lineage: Bacteria; Bacillati; Bacillota; Clostridia; Peptostreptococcales; Tepidibacteraceae
Description: Clostridium paradoxum SAM-I sequence
Rfam family: SAM riboswitch aptamer (S box leader)
About the family: The SAM riboswitch is found upstream of a number of genes which code for proteins involved in methionine or cysteine biosynthesis in Gram-positive bacteria. The SAM riboswitch acts at the level of transcription termination control.
Source: RNAcentral
CUCUUAUCAAGAGAGGCGGAGGGACUGGCCCAAUGAAGCCCGGCAACCACGAUUUAUUUCGAAGGUGCCAAUUCCAGCAACAUGAAAAUGUUGAAAGAUAAGAG